RNAcentral lists this long non-coding RNA (232 nucleotides) under Lathyrus oleraceus (garden pea). RNAcentral describes it as "Pisum sativum (pea) long non-coding RNA (PSAT_LNC010796)". Lineage: Eukaryota; Viridiplantae; Streptophyta; Magnoliopsida; Fabales; Fabaceae. The record is from RNAcentral.
UUUUUCUUGAUUUUGAUUUUGAUUUUUCUUUUGAUUUUCACCCUCCUCUUUUUUUGUUGUUUUUUUUAUUACAUUUGUAAUGCCCCAGUUGGACUGUUUUGCUGAUUCUCGAGAUACAUCUGAGUGAUCUUCUUUUCUUGCUCAAGAAGUCGGGAAAUAUCGUCAGAAAUCCCUUCAACAUCCUCUUCUUCCGCUUCGAAUACAGGGAAUUCAAAGUUGGGAGAUGGCGUUG